AUACCUGGCCGAGAUACCGAGAUACCAAUGGUGUGUUUUUCAAUGAGAGGCUUAUCCAUUUCACUCUGGAUAUUUGACCCCUGUGAUUUUCCCAAAUGCAGAAAACUUAGCUACAUGCUUUGUUCUAGUGUGGGAUUGCAUU
This 142-nucleotide small nuclear RNA is filed under the name Mus pahari (shrew mouse). RNAcentral describes it as "predicted gene, 24929 (MGP_PahariEiJ_G0033426.1)". The record is from RNAcentral. Lineage: Eukaryota; Metazoa; Chordata; Mammalia; Rodentia; Muridae.